Molecule: long non-coding RNA, 4252 nt
Filed under: Homo sapiens (human)
Lineage: Eukaryota; Metazoa; Chordata; Mammalia; Primates; Hominidae
Description: HSALNT0342509
Source: RNAcentral
AGAGCCUCUCUUAACACUGUCCUGUAGCUCAGCAACUCCAAAUUAGCACAGCUCCACACAUCCAAAGCCUGGAAAGGGUGGAAGAUGAAUAUGAACGGACAGAUCCCUCAUGCUCACCCUUGGUGGUGAAUUGAGUCAUCAGCUGAGUAUGGAAAGGAGUGGGGAACAAGCUCACAGGCUCUUUGUCUCCUUCGACUUUUGUUUCACAUUUGCCAGGAGGUAAGGCCUUCAUACCUGCAGCUGGGUCAAGUAUCUGGAAACACGUGGGCUGCCAGCAGAGCCACUUCAUGUCAGCAUCAGAGUACAAAGUGAGUGUGAGACUGAGUGAGAAUGUGAACUGCCAGGGUAUUCCUACCCGUGUGGCCCAGGCCUGGCUGCAGGGAGGGCAAAGUCUGGCUGCAGGGAGGGGAAAGGUCAGCUACAGGUCCCACCACACAUGUCCUCCAACUGCACUUUCCUUGUUCUAGCUUGGCAUCAGCCCACCUUGCUGUGUGCCUUGCAUGCCUCCUUCCUCUUCCUUUAGGAGGGGAUAGAAGGGUCCAGCUGAGGAUAAAUACAACAAUCAAGUCUUAGAUAGCAUUUGACAGCUAUUUGAUGAAUGAAUAAAUAAUAGAUGCAUAAAUAAAUGAAUGAACAAAUAAGCCAACAACUGGGUGUCAACAGGCAGACACGCACAUUUUACAAAUAGGUAUUUCCCUACUUCUCCAGCGUGAUAGAGUGGAGAUCAAUGGCUUUCACAAUAUCUUGUUAAACCUGAAAGUUUAACGAAAAUAUUCUCUUUUACUGAGUCCUUGUUAAAUUAAAGAAAAUUAGAAACAGCUACAUAUAGCCAGGGUAGGGGAAGGGGAUGGUUGGGUAAGAAACCGAGAAACUUGAAGAAGGGGAGCAGAUCAUUCUGGUGGAGUAGGGACACCUGCCUUACCUGCACUCAAACAUUCCCAAGUGUCGACUCCCAAUUCCCAGUGAAGGCUGGAGGGGUGAUGUUAAUACCUCACACUGAUAAUCCACAGUGCCUCUCCUCAGGGUCCGCUGACUCUGACACCUUUCCCUUCCCCACUCUCCUCCCUCUUCCCUUCUAGCUCAAAGUUUGGGUGAGACUGAAAAGCCAAUCUGGCUCCCACUUGCAGAGGAAUCAAGGCCCCCAGAGUUUCAGAACCCAGAGGGCCCUUCGCUUAACACAGCACCUUCCUGAGAACUAGAAACAGGCGUCCCGAUGGUAGUCACAGCUUCACAGGUGCAUGGGGAAGUGAAUGAAGAUGUUGCCUUGUGUUAAUUAGAAAAAUAUUCAAUAUCAGUCCUGGUCCUGGCGGGAAACAGAUGACACAGUCAAAGUGGAUAAUGAAGGAAAGUGUGAGGGGAAGGCACCAUUUACAAAGACGUGGGUGGGAUUUAGGCAAACCUGCAAGGAAUGGUAUGGUAUCCUGGGGCUAGCAACAGUGGGGAGCCCUGAGAGACAAGGAGAGAGAGAGCCCUGUACUGAGACAAAGCAAGAACUGUAGCUUUGGAAGCUGUGACCUUCAGAAAGGGAGAGAGACAAUCAAUGGCCCUCAGUAAGGAGAGGAGCCAAGAGAAACGCUCUUCCCUUUGCUCUCCUGCCAGCACCCCCAACGGUGGAACUCAGCCAGGUGCUGGAGGGAGGGGGGUGGGCCAUGUCAUCCACACAGGCCAGCCAGCCAGGGCACAGAGGAGGGUGGGAAGUGGGUCCAGAGAGGUGAUGGGAAGCAUCCUCAUGGGUACCCCUUUCCCAGGCAGAUGCAACCCUGUCCGUACACUCCCAAGGAGCCUCGCACAGGCUGCAGGUCAGCCUCGCUCUCUCCCGGGCCAGAAGCCCUUUUGCACGGCAAGACUUGCAUAAUCAUAUGUGACAGUCCUAACAGCCUUUGAGGACUAUACCCCUUUUCAUGUGUAAAAAUAUUACAAAAGGAUCCCAUGUCCCAAAAUAAAUAGAGAAAAACAAAACAUUGCAAGCAGCUAUCUCCAGCAACCAUGUUUCUAUUCUUCCAAUUUGGCUCCACUUUCUCCACCAGCCUUUUUUUCUCUUCAGCAAAUGGCACAACCUUCCACCUGGUCACCUGAGGCAGAAACCUGCUAUUGCUUUGACCAUCUCCUCCUUCAUCUUCCACAUCCAAAUGAAUGGUCACCAGCAUGUUGGGUCCCUGCUGGAAGUCCAUCACCACCUGUUUAUUCCUACUGCAUUGCCACAGGCCCUUAUCCAUCUUCCCGGACUCAACACUAUGAUCAUUUCCAAGCUGAGCUCCAGCUUCUGCAUGUAUCCAGCCCCACUCGGUCUUCCACUCUCUCACAUCCCAUGGCCAGAGGUAUCUUCUAGACAGAGAACAUUAAUAUCAUCUCAUCACUCCACUGCUUAACAUCCUUCUGUGGCUUGCCUUUUCCCAUAGGCAAGUUCAAAUGCAUGCAUCCAAAUGGACGGCUCUUUACCGUCCUGCCCCAUCAGGUCUCGCAGCUGCAACCCCCUCUCCCACCAUAUCCCUGCCCCCUUCACUCCCCUUGCUCCCUAACACUGACCUUCUUGCAAUUCCUCCAAAGUAUCAGGCCUCCUCCCACCUCUAGACAAAUGCCCAGGCUGUUCUCUCUAGCCUGAAAUACCCCCGCCCCUCCACUCCAUCCAACUAAUGCCUGCUUAUCCACCAGACUUUUGGUGAUGCAUCUGUUGUUGUUGUUGUUUGUUGUUGUUUUGAAAACUGCAUUGACCCUCUUUCUCUUUCCCUGCAAGCGGACUCAGGCACCUUUCAUUUGCACCCAUUCUCUACACUCUGUGAACACUCUUGUGCACCUCUCUUGAUGCCACUGUGUUCUCACUGUUAAUCUCCUUGUCUUUCACCCUCACCAUCCCUGUAGCCCCAUGGCCUAGCACAUGCCUGGUUCUGCCUAUCACAGGAUCUGUAAGGGCUUACUGAAGUGAAGUAAGUUGUAAUGAAAUGAAAGCUUCCUAGGUUGGUGCUGCCUGACCUCUAUCCAGUUAAUCUAUGAUCAGGGUGGCUGUUGAUUCUGUGGUACGCUAUGCCUGUUUGAUUCUUUAUGACAGAAUGUGAUUUGCCUUGCUCUAUUUUCAUCACAGUUUACAUGCUUUUAAGGCAAGAGAACCCCAUUUUCUGAUUUCUAAAGAUUUCCCACCCAACUUCUGUUCAAAUAUUUUGUCAAACAAUGGAAAAAGCCAAAGGCAGUUAAGUCCAUGAAUGGGGUUACAUUGCAUAGGCAAAUAAAUCUUCCCCUAGCUCUCUCCUUUCAAAGGGAUGGCCUCAAUAAAUUCUUCAAGUAAGCUACUUUAAAAAUAUCUCUUCUACCACUAUUUACCUCAUUUGAAUCUAUCUGAAUAUGGAACAGAGUAGGAACAUGUGAAAUGUAUUAGGUAAAUCUUACAUUGGUAGGAACCUCGAGUAAAGAGCUUGGGAUACCUCUGUAUUUGCUCCUUCACUCUUCUUACUUAGUAACUCCCAUAACUCACAUUUCUUUUUUGUUUAAUAGUGUGUUAGGCACUUUUCUAGUUACAUAAGCCGAAGGUCACUUUAACAGCAAUAACAAUUAGAAUUUGCAGUUUAUAGAACACUUCCACAUAAAGCAUCUCACUUAACUCUCAAAUGCCUAUGAGGCAGAUACUGUUAUUGUCUCUGUUUUGUAGAUGUGGGUUUUAGACACUUCAAUUUUGAACACUCUCAUCUCACCUCUUACUCCAGUCAUGUCCUCAUCAACUUGUUCCACACAGGAUUGCCGACCUUCACACGGGGGCAGCUGGACAGUGUGUGGACCUGGUCCAUACUCCUGCUUCUUGCCCUGAGGUGCCCCUGAUACUUCAUGUAGGCACUUGUUGCAUCCACUGGACACUCAUAUCUUGUACAACUUAGAAAUGGAUAGGAGUCGUGCCCAUGUGGGCUCUUCUAAUCAGUGGAGGAUGGGCCAAUAUAUAAAUGUUUCCCUCUGUUAUCUGAGGCCCAUUUCACAUGGCUCCUUCCAAGGCCAGUGGCCCCUCUGUCUAUAGCGGUGGCCAACUCCACGGCACAUCCUUGCAUUGCCUCCUCCCCCUUCCCUGUUCCACUUCCCAUCCCUCACUCCUACUCCUUGGGAUCUCUUCCCAAAUAAACUACUUGCCUACAAGCCUUAACACCUCAGGCUCUACUUCCAGGUAACUCAGAUUGAAAUAUCUGCCAAAUAUCCCAGAGUUUAAGUGGAACACUGGCAUUCAUUUUAAGAUUUUUCUGAUUCCAAAUUCCACACGCUUUUCUCUUUAUCCUCC